RNAcentral lists this ribosomal RNA (460 nucleotides) under uncultured bacterium. RNAcentral describes it as "partial 16S ribosomal RNA". It matches the Rfam family "Bacterial small subunit ribosomal RNA", at positions 338 to 795 of the family's 1533-position model. The record is from RNAcentral.
CCUACGGGAGGCUGCAGUGAGGAAUAUUGGUCAAUGGCCGGAAGGCUGAACCAGCCAUGCCGCGUGAAGGUCAGUGCCCUAUGGGCGUUAAACUUCUUUUGUGCGGGAGCAAUAAUGGUCACGUGUGGCCAGACGAGAGUACCGUACGAAUAAGCAUCGGCUAACUCCGUGCCAGCAUCCGCGGUAAUACGGGGAAUGCAAGCGUUAUCCGGAGUUAUUGGGUUUAAAGGGUGCGUAGGCUGUGAGGUAAGUCAGAGGUGAAAUGCCCCCGCUCAACGGGGUGAAGUGCCAUUGAUACUGCCUUGCUGGAAUGCGGAUGCCGGGGGAGGAAUGUGUGGUGUAGCGGUGAAAUGCAUAGAUAUCACACAGAACACCGAUUGCGAAGGCAGCUCACGAAUCCGCGAUUGACGCUGAUGCACGAAAGCGUGGGUAUCAAACAGGAUUAGAUACCCGGGUAGUC